GCAGUUGGAAGAGAUUGAGGCUGCUGAUGCCAACAAGGAGGUCGUGUCAAUGAGCCAUAGAGGAGGAGUUUUUCAAUGUGAGUACUUAAAUCAUAAGACUAUGUAAGCUUUGUUACUUCAUGCAAUUCUGUUUUGUAAUUUUUUUUCGUACAGAGACGAGACAUGAUGACCGUGUGAUUGUAAGCUCAGAGGAUAGUGAUAUUGAGAAUGCGCUACAAUAGCAGUUCAUAAGCAAUUUGGCGUAAGACGAUUUGUAAUUACAACUAUUUUCUUCGCAAUUUUACUGAUCUACAUCUACCAAAUUAAUUGUCUUUGCAAUUCUUCUUCUUCCUUUGUUUCUCUCGAAACAAAAUGGUGAUGGUCAUGGUGGAUUGGAUUUACAAGUGAUUUUCCUUGGUCUUUUGUUGAUAGAGGUCUCAGUUGUUCCCUGAAAAUGACCAGGUAUUUUCUUUCAUUUGAGUUCUCUCUAAAGAUUUCCAAAAUGUCAUGCUUUCAUUGAUAGGUCUCUAACUUCUGAAUUGAAGUUUGGCUUCAAUGUAGUUGAGUAGUCUGCUGCUGUUUGGGCCAUGAGAAUUCAGUACAUAUGAUAAUCUAUUAUUCGAUUAGUUAUUGAUAUAAAACCCAUUGGUUCAUAAAACAUGAAAAAACUGAAUAACAUUUUUUGUUAAACUUCCUAUAUAUGUUACUUCUUUAACACUUAUAGCAUGCAAUGAGUUUAUUUUCCAAUUUGUAUGUUCAGCUUAGCCAAGUUGAGAUUGUAGCAAAUAACAUUGUUUAGUUGUCACUGUCUUUCGUCAAUGACUUUCUUGCCUCAAAUACUGUCUUCCGCAGUGUUUCACAUUACUGAUCCAAGGUUAGCACGAGGGAUCCUAGGUAUGCCCCUUUUAUUGUAUCAGCUGAAAUUAAAGUGGCAUUCAUAGAGAAAAGUAACAAGGAACUUGCUUUUAUCACUUUGAUACAAAAUGACAUUCCAUUUUGCAUUCUAGAGUGUAUGUUGAGAGUGUUGUGGAUUUGCAAAAAGAAAAUUUCAAAGUUAUUUAUAAACCGGUUUCUUUUUGGUAUUGCAUUCUUUCUUAUUUUUUACUCAUUGUUAUAUAGUUUGCAUAAAAGUGUGGUGGGUUCUCAAAAUUGUUUUCUCUAAACUGGUAAUUUUUUUUGUCUUAUUUUUCUUAGACUGGUAUUCUCUACAUUUAGAUUGUUAGAUUGUAUCGUUUUUUAGUUUUCACUUUUGAAAGGUCUCUUGCAUAUACCUUAACAGUAUUGCAUAUGAAGUAUGGUGUGUGACCUCUUGAUGCCUUCUGUGUUUUGACAUGUAGAUGAGAAGGUUUUAGAUUGUUCCAAAUUGGUCAGCAUAAUGUUAAUAACCUUAUGCUAUGAUUGAAUGUGAUGUACAGGAAACAAAGAGGAAGAAGCAGCCAAUGUGGAUGAUCUUUUUCUUGAAGGGACUUGCAGCAACCAAUUCAGAGAAAGAGGAUUUGGAAGUGUUUAUAGGGGAUCAGUUUUGGGAUGAAAAACAAGACCUUAUGAUAAGGAAGAGCUUGCAGCAACAUCGUAUCAUUUUGCUACUGGAAAGAUCAGCUUUUAUUACCAGAAUGAAUUUGAUCUAAUGAAUGCUGUAACAAAAGAAGAAUACGUAGCCUCCCUAUAAAGGUAUUUAUUUUCAUCUGUAAUUGAUGAGCAUUGAUUUCGCUCUUUGCAACAGUUUUCAUUUCAAGCAAGGGGCAAUGUUUCUUUU
Fragaria vesca subsp. vesca is the source of this 1735-nucleotide RNA transcript. RefSeq lists it as uncharacterized. The transcript has 2 exons. NCBI's taxonomy places the organism in Eukaryota, Viridiplantae, Streptophyta, Magnoliopsida, Rosales, Rosaceae. The record is from RefSeq and is a predicted model, not a curated record.